Brachypodium distachyon (stiff brome) is the source of this 136-nucleotide non-coding RNA. Lineage: Eukaryota; Viridiplantae; Streptophyta; Magnoliopsida; Poales; Poaceae. The record is from Rfam.
GAUGUACUUCCUCCGUCCAACAAAGGAUGUCUCAACUUUGACUAAAUUUGAAUGCAUCUAUACACUAAGUCAUGUCUAGAUACAUCCAAAUUUUGACAAACUUGAGACAUCUUUUGUUGAAUGGAGGGAAUGCAAU